RNAcentral lists this long non-coding RNA (1130 nucleotides) under Ananas comosus (pineapple). RNAcentral's name for it is "long non-coding RNA (ACOM_LNC012913)". Lineage: Eukaryota; Viridiplantae; Streptophyta; Magnoliopsida; Poales; Bromeliaceae. The record is from RNAcentral.
CGCCCCGACGGGGCAGUACAUGGGAAAAAAUAAACGGAUUCGGAGGGAACGGGGUAAAUUUUACGAUCCGAGACGGAUUCGGUUUGACCCGUCCCGAAUCCGCACCGUUAUAAUCCGCUCCGAAUCCGCCCCGAAAAUUAUUUAUAUUUUUAAAAAAUAUUUCUACAAAAUAAUAUAUUUACAAAAAGUUCAAAAUACAAAUAAGUUAGUACUCUCAUUUUUAAUGUAUUUGAAAAUUUUAAAUUUUGUUUUGAAUUGUGAUUGAUAUUUUUUAUUUUUAUAAUUGAUAUUGUUAAAUUAUAUAUAUAAUAUUAAUUUAUAUUUUACAAAAUAUUAAUAAUAUUAUAAUUUUAUAAAAAAUAUUAGUUUGCGGGACGGAUUCGGGGCUCCGGCGGGGGGCGGGUUACGAGGUGGGGCGGAUUAUGGGAUGUAUUUUUUAACCCGUCACGGGUUCGGGACGGGAUUUUGCUAGUCGGGGCGGGAGGCGGGGCAGGGCUCCCGCCUCCAGAUCUGCCCCGUUUGCAUCCCUACGUAUGAUCAAUCUAUAGCUUAUAAAGCAGACCCUCGACCCAAAUUAGUCUUAACAUUCGUGCUCACCUGUAGUGAGCGCAUGCUGAGUAUGAAUCAUGCAAUAAACAUAUAGACGAAAUAUUAGAUAAGAAACACACCGUCACAUGGUGGUUGUGGAAAUUGAACUUAGAAUUAUUUGGAACAGAGAUCGAGCUGAUACGAAUUGAUCUGUUCAAGAUUAGACCCCCAUAAGUUAAAAGAACUCUACAAAGCCAUUUGAUUUUGAUGUACAACUUGUGCUUAAGACCACUGACCGUCCCUAGAGCAAGUGACAAAGGGUUUGGUGGUUGGUAUCCGAGACCCUAGUUCGAAUCCUAAUUGAUUCACAUUUCUAACUAAGUUUGUUUUUAAAUAAAAUAAACGAAACGGAUAGCGUGUUAUCUAUCUCUCAAAGCAAAAAAAACUUGUGCUUAAGACCAUUGUGACAUUAGUAGGCAUGAUUGGGCCUCUUUAAAUAUACUAAUAUCUGGCAAUUUGUUACAUAAACUUUAUGGUAUCCUGAACUAAUCAUAAAAACGAAUAAACGAAGUAGGUAACAUGCUAUUUUUUUCUCUUAAAAG